GAUGAACGCUGGCGGCGUGCCUAAUACAUGCAAGUCGAGCGAACAGACGAGGAGCUUGCUCCUCUGACGUUAGCGGCGGACGGGUGAGUAACACGUGGAUAACCUACCUAUAAGACUGGGAUAACUUCGGGAAACCGGAUCUAAUACCGUAUAAUAUAUUGAACCGCAUGGUUCAAUAGUGAAAGACGGUUUUGCUGUCACUUAUAGAUGGAUCCGCGCCGCAUUAGCUAGUUGGUAAGGUAACGGCUUACCAAGGCGACGAUGCGUAGCCGACCUGAGAGGGUGAUCGGCCACACUGGAGCUGGGACACGGUCCAGACUCCUGAGGGAGGCAGCAGUAGGGAAUCUACCGCAAUGGGCGAAAGCCUGACGGAGCAACGCCGCGUGAGUGAUGAAGGUCUUCGGAUCGUAAAACUCUGUUAUUAGGGAAGAACAAAUGUGUAAGUAACUAUGCACGUCUUGACGGUAACUAAUCAGAAAGCCACGGCUAACUACGUG
Molecule: ribosomal RNA, 497 nt
Filed under: uncultured bacterium
Lineage: Bacteria
Description: partial 16S ribosomal RNA
Rfam family: Bacterial small subunit ribosomal RNA
Source: RNAcentral